Molecule: ribosomal RNA, 446 nt
Filed under: uncultured bacterium
Lineage: Bacteria
Description: partial 16S ribosomal RNA
Rfam family: Bacterial small subunit ribosomal RNA
Source: RNAcentral
AGGGAAUCUUCCACAAUGGACGCAAGUCUGAUGGAGCAACGCCGCGUGAGUGAAGAAGGUCUUCGGGAUCGUAAAGCUCUGUUGUUGGUGAAGAAGGAUAGAGGCAGUAACUGGUCUUUAUUUGACGGUAAUCAACCAGAAAGUCACGGCUAACUACGUGCCAGCAGCCGCGGUAAUACGUAGGUGGCAAGCGUUGUCCGGAUUUAUUGGGCGUAAAGCGAGCGCAGGCGGAAUGAUAAGUCUGAUGUGAAAGCCCACGGCUCAACCGUGGAACUGCAUCGGAAACUGUCAUUCUUGAGUGCAGAAGAGGAGAGUGGAACUCCAUGUGUAGCGGUGGAAUGCGUAGAUAUAUGGAAGAACACCAGUGGCGAAGGCGGCUCUCUGGUCUGCAACUGACGCUGAGGCUCGAAAGCAUGGGUAGCGAACAGGAUUAGAUACCCUGGUAG